Molecule: long non-coding RNA, 834 nt
Filed under: Salvia miltiorrhiza (redroot sage)
Lineage: Eukaryota; Viridiplantae; Streptophyta; Magnoliopsida; Lamiales; Lamiaceae
Description: long non-coding RNA (SMIL_LNC002400)
Source: RNAcentral
UUUAACACAUAAGAGUGACUUAACACAUUAAAUCUACAGUAUUAUAAAUAAGAUAAAAAAGCACCAACAAAUAAAGGAUAAAUACGAGAUAUUGACAAAAAAAUAUAAGUGACAAAUAAAGUCUUCGCAAACACGUGUUUAUGCCAACUAAUAUAUCCAAGCCUUAUCACAACAACUAUUUCUCUUUCAAUUUCAAUAUCGAUAUGAUCACUAUCAUCAACACAAAUAUCCAAUCUACGAGCUAGAAUUCUUGGAAUAUUACUAUUACAAUCACCAAAACCAAACUCUCUGAAAGAAUUAAAGUUGGACACCACCACACACAAAAAGAAAAAUAAAAAUACAGAAGCUCGAUCUCUUAGGUUUGGGGGAUGUGCAUAGGAUUACGUUGGGUUUUCCGGUGGCCGGAGCUUAAUAUUUCGGUUUUCCGAUGGCCGGAACUUGACUUCUUCAACACUGUCCGGUGGCUGGAUGUGUCGAUCGACGACGUUUUGUGGGUUGUGGUUUAUGUGUUUGAGUCCUUAGCUUUGGCUACCAUGCUUUGUUAUUUCUUUAUAUUUUGUGGUUGUACUUUAUAAAUAAUUAUAUAUGAAUCAAUAUAUUUCUUCAUAUUACUGUUAAUUGUUCUUAUAGAUUAAUUCUGUGUUUAAUUAUUGGGUUUCGUUUUCAUCUUUCAUUCAUCGAAAUUGUGCGUGGCAUGAAUUAUUAUGUGUAGUUUAGAGGAUUAAUUGUAAAAUUUUGUGGCUUUGCUUAAUUACCUUCUUUUUUUUUUUCUGUAGGAUUUAUUAUCAGAACGCAUUAUUAUUUCUAAGAAUGCUCAUAUGAUGAUAUUUUUUU